This 577-nucleotide ribosomal RNA is filed under the name Symbiodinium sp. RNAcentral's name for it is "eukaryotic LSU rRNA". It matches the Rfam family "Eukaryotic large subunit ribosomal RNA", at positions 92 to 662 of the family's 3401-position model. The record is from RNAcentral. Lineage: Eukaryota; Dinophyceae; Suessiales; Symbiodiniaceae.
AAUGAACAGGGAAACGCUCAGGCUUAAGACCAAGGCUCUGGUUUUGGGUUGUAGCCUGCAGAUAUUGCGCUAUCGGUGGCUCGAGCGUAAGCCUCUUGGAAUAGAGCGUAAACUUGGGUGAGAAUCCUCUGUUUCGCUCGGUGUCCGCUGUGUACGGCGCAUGUUCUCAGAGUCACGUUCCUCGGACUUGGAGCGUAAAUUAGGUGGUAGAUUUCAUCUAAAGCUAAAUAAAGGCCUAAGACCGAUAGCGAACAAGUACCAUGAGGGAAAGAUGAAAAGGACUUUGGAAAGAGAGUUAAAAGUGCUUGAAAUCGCUGGAAGGGAAGCGAAUGCAACCACACUCUCUGCUGAGAUUGCCGCGGGCGCUUGCAAGCUCUGAGCUCAGAAGCGCAAGAUCUGUGUUUGGCUGUGCGCGGGCGCUCGUGGUGUUUCUUAGUGAAGAUAUCAGGUGUCACGUACGUUCGAACAGGGCCUUGAGCAUGCAUUUGUCGCUCGUGAGCGAUAUCCUGUGCUCCGUGGGAUUCGGACAUAUGUGGCUUACUGAUUCAGUGGUUUUUUUCGACCCGUCUUGAAACAC